This 161-nucleotide unclassified non-coding RNA is filed under the name Lactococcus garvieae. RNAcentral describes it as "T-box". The record is from RNAcentral. Lineage: Bacteria; Bacillati; Bacillota; Bacilli; Lactobacillales; Streptococcaceae.
AUAAAGAAUGAGAAGAGUAGGUUACUGGAACGUUUAAGGGAGUGAUGUCGUCGACUGCAAAUCAUCACACGGAAAAGUUAUUGAAGUUCACCUCGUUCUAAUUUAAAAUAGUCUUUAAUUAAGUGAUAAAAUAGGAUGGUACCGCGGUUUUCGCUCCUUUG